This 231-nucleotide ribosomal RNA is filed under the name uncultured bacterium. RNAcentral describes it as "partial 16S ribosomal RNA". It matches the Rfam family "Bacterial small subunit ribosomal RNA", at positions 99 to 334 of the family's 1533-position model. The record is from RNAcentral.
CGGACGGGUGAGUAAUGUCUGGGAAACUGCCUGAUGGAGGGGGAUAACUACUGGAAACGGUAGCUAAUACCGCAUAACGUCGCAAGACCAAAGAGGGGACCUUCGGGCCUCUUGCCAUCGGAUGUGCCCAGAUGGGAUCAGCUAGUAGGUGGGGUAACGGCUCACCUAGGCGACGAUCCCUAGCUGGUCUGAGAGGAUGACCAGCCACACUGGAACUGAGACACGGUCCAG